Molecule: ribosomal RNA, 251 nt
Filed under: uncultured bacterium
Lineage: Bacteria
Description: partial 16S ribosomal RNA
Rfam family: Bacterial small subunit ribosomal RNA
Source: RNAcentral
GACGUAGGGCGCGAGCGUUGUCCGGAUUUAUUGGGCGUAAAGAGCUCGUAGGCGGCUUGUCGCGUCGUCUGUGAAAUCCCGCGGCUCAACUGCGGGCUGGCAGUCGAUACGGGCAGGCUGGAGUUCGGUAGGGGAGACGUGGAAUUCCGGGUGGUAGUGGUGAAAUGCGUAGAGAUCCGGAGGAACACCUGUGGCGAAGGCGGCCCCCUGGGCCCGCACCUGACGCUGAGACGCGAAAGCGCGGGGAGCGA